AGGACGAACGCUGGCGGCGCGCCUAACACAUGCAAGUCGAGCGAGAACCAUUCCUUCGGGAAUGGGGACAGCGGCGAACGGGUGAGUAACACGUGGGUAAUCUGCCCUCGAUUCUGGGAUAGCCCGGGGGAAACCCGGAUUAAUACCGGAUAGCCUCUCGAGCUUACGAGCUCUUGAGAAAAGGUGCUUCGGCCUCCGAUCGAGGAUGAGCCCGCGGCGGAUUAGCUUGUUGGUGGGGUAAUGGCCUACCAAGGCGACGAUCCGUAGCUGGUCUGAGAGGACGAUCAGCCACACUGGGACUGAGACACGGCCCAGACUCCGUACGGGAGCCAGCGAGUGGGAAUCGUUGCGCAAGUGGGACGAAAGCCUAGACGCGAGCGACGCCGCGGUGGGGAAGAACGGUCCGUUACGGGUUACGUAAACCUUCGUUUACGAGCGAGGACG
RNAcentral lists this ribosomal RNA (444 nucleotides) under uncultured soil bacterium. RNAcentral's name for it is "bacterial SSU rRNA". It matches the Rfam family "Bacterial small subunit ribosomal RNA", at positions 26 to 450 of the family's 1533-position model. The record is from RNAcentral.